RNAcentral lists this ribosomal RNA (599 nucleotides) under uncultured bacterium. RNAcentral describes it as "bacterial SSU rRNA". It matches the Rfam family "Bacterial small subunit ribosomal RNA", at positions 327 to 926 of the family's 1533-position model. The record is from RNAcentral.
GGUCGACGAUUCCUACGGGAGGCAGCAGUGAGGAAUAUUGGGCAAUGGAGGCAACUCUGACCCAGCCAUGCCGCGUGCAGGAAGACGGCCCUAUGGGUUGUAAACUGCUUUCGUACGGGAAGAAACACUGGUAUGUAUACCGGCUUGACGGUACCGUAAGAAUAAGCAUCGGCUAACUCCGUGCCAGCAGCCGCGGUAAUACGGAGGAUGCGAGCGUUAUCCGGAAUCAUUGGGUUUAAAGGGUCCGUAGGCGGCCUUAUAAGUCAGUGGUGAAAUCUUCUGGCUCAACCAGAAAACUGCCAUUGAUACUGUAAGGCUUGAAUAUUUGUGAAGUAACUAGAAUAUGUAGUGUAGCGGUGAAAUGCUUAGAUAUUACAUGGAAUACCAAUUGCGAAGGCAGGUUACUAACAAAUGAUUGACGCUGAUGGACGAAAGCGUGGGGAGCGAACAGGAUUAGAUACCCUGGUAGUCCACGCCGUAAACGAUGGAUACUAGCUGUUCGGAUGCAAAUCUGAGUGGCUAAGCGAAAGUGAUAAGUAUCCCACCUGGGGAGUACGCACGCAAGUGUGAAACUCAAAGGAAUUGACGGAAUCUCUAGA